This 828-nucleotide long non-coding RNA is filed under the name Homo sapiens (human). RNAcentral describes it as "HSALNT0076196". Lineage: Eukaryota; Metazoa; Chordata; Mammalia; Primates; Hominidae. The record is from RNAcentral.
UUUAAAUGUUGCUAGCUUAGUUUAUUUUUUAAAAAAUAUAUCUUCUGAGAGGUUUGAGAAAACUAAGAAAGUAUAUUUUGUUUAGCCUUUCCAAAUACUAUUUCCCUGGAAAUAGUAUUUUGUUUAGCCUUUCCAAAUACUAUUUCCUAAUCAGUGAGUUAGUCCAGACCUCAGAGGGCUCCUGGAAUUAGAAAGAAGGCAAGGAUGAACAUCAGGUUCAAGAUUAUUCUUAUGUUGCUUUACUACCAAACCAGAAAAUCUGGAUGUCCUGCAGGCAGGCAUGUUUAUGAGAGUUACUCAAAAAAGAUAUGCCCCCUGAAGUGCCAAGUUUAGUGAUCACGCAGUCCAUGUGGAAUGAGGAGUCUGCCAGGACAGAGGAGCUUGAGUUGGGAGGCUGGGGUAGAAGCAUGAUAACCCUCCAGGUUCCCCUCUGUUACCAUGUACCAGACUACUUGCUGCCCCAUGGGAACCAACAUCUGUGUUCUAUUUAUUACUAGCUCAUUGGCCUAUGCCUGUCUGGCUAUGGCCUAUGGAUAGUGAAAGAUAAAGAGUAGAGUUGAGUGGGGAGUAAAUAAAAAUCAACAUUUUUAUGUGAAAUAAAAAAUUAAUUCUAAAAUAGAAUGAAAUACUGAUCUGGAUCAUAUUCACUGAUUUUAAUUGAUUUAUCAUUUCUGAUUUCCUACCUUAGGUUAUAAGCAGAUACCUGAAAAUUGUGAAAUUGAUAUAAACCCAGAUCUUCAAAGCAACUGAUGACCAAGGGGACUGUGAUAUAAUAGCCACAUAUUCUUUACCAGUGUUAGGUUUUAGUUAAUAAACAUUACUAUGGAG